UGUGUGGACGGCGAAGGUCAGGAGUUCCUCGCAAGUUGGUAAUCGGGCGGGCACAGCGCAAGGCCUUGGAGGUGUAUCAGGGUUACACGGAGCAGCC
This 97-nucleotide non-coding RNA is filed under the name Tripos fusus. The record is from RNAcentral. Lineage: Eukaryota; Dinophyceae; Gonyaulacales; Ceratiaceae.